AUUGAACGCUGGCGGCAGGCCUAACACAUGCAAGUCGAGCGGUAGAGAGAAGCUUGCUUCUCUUGAGAGCGGCGGACGGGUGAGUAAUGCCUAGGAAUCUGCCUGGUAGUGGGGGAUAACGUUCGGAAACGGACGCUAAUACCGCAUACGUCCUACGGGAGAAAGCAGGGGACCUUCGGGCCUUGCGCUAUCAGAUGAGCCUAGGUCGGAUUAGCUAGUUGGUGAGGUAAUGGCUCACCAAGGCGACGAUCCGUAACUGGUCUGAGAGGAUGAUCAGUCACACUGGAACUGAGACACGGUCCAGACUCCGACGGGAGGCAGCAGGGGGGAAUAUUGGACAAUGGGCGAAAGCCUGAUCCAGCCAUGCCGCGUGUGUGAAGAAGGUCUUCGGAUUGUAAAGCACUUUAAGUUGGGAGGAAGGGUUGUAGAUUAAUACUCUGCAAUUUUGACGUUACCGACAGAAUAAGCACCGGCUAACUCUGUGCCAGCAGCCGCAGUAA
RNAcentral lists this ribosomal RNA (500 nucleotides) under uncultured bacterium. RNAcentral's name for it is "partial 16S ribosomal RNA". It matches the Rfam family "Bacterial small subunit ribosomal RNA", at positions 30 to 523 of the family's 1533-position model. The record is from RNAcentral.